GGGGAAUAUUGGACAAUGGGGGAAACCCUGAUCCAGCGACGCCGCGUGUGUGAAGAAGGCCUGCGGGUUGUAAAGCACUUUUAGUGGGGACGAAAAGUUUCGGGUUAACAACCCGGGAUCUUGACUUAACCCAAAGAAAAAGCACCGGCUAACUCUGUGCCAGCAGCCGCGGUAAUACAGAGGGUGCGAGCGUUAAUCGGAAUUACUGGGCGUAAAGCGCGCGUAGGCGGUCUUGUAAGUCGGGUGUGAAAGCCCCGGGCUCAACCUGGGAACUGCAUUCGAGACUGCAGGACUGGAGUAUUGGAGAGGGCAGCGGAAUUUCCGGUGUAGCGGUGAAAUGCGUAGAUAUCGGAAGGAACAUCAGUGGCGAAAGCGGCUGCCUGGCCAAAUACUGACGCUCAUGUGCGAAAGCGUGGGGAGCAAA
This 424-nucleotide ribosomal RNA is filed under the name uncultured bacterium. RNAcentral's name for it is "bacterial SSU rRNA". It matches the Rfam family "Bacterial small subunit ribosomal RNA", at positions 356 to 772 of the family's 1533-position model. The record is from RNAcentral.